Molecule: microRNA precursor, 78 nt
Filed under: Trichobilharzia regenti
Lineage: Eukaryota; Metazoa; Platyhelminthes; Trematoda; Strigeidida; Schistosomatidae
Description: mir-3492 microRNA precursor family
Rfam family: mir-3492 microRNA precursor family
Source: Rfam by way of RNAcentral
AGCCCCCUGUAUCCGUGCUGAGAUUUCGUCAGAGAUCAGCCCGUUGGAGCUGAUGGUUCUUCCCAAAUAAGUGAAGCG